GACGAACGCUGGCGGCACGCCUAACACAUGCAAGUCGAACGGAGAAAGGGAGCUUGCUCCUUGGAUCAGUGGCGGACGGGUGAGUAACACGUGAGCAACCUGCCUUUCAGAGGGGGACAACAGUUGGAAACGACUGCUAAUACCGCGUAACGUAUUUUGGAGGCAUCUCCGAAAUACCAAAGGAGCAAUCCGCUUUGAGAUGGCCUCGCGUCCGAUUAGCUGGUUGGUGAGGUAACGGCCCACCAAGGCAACGAUCGGUAGCCGGACUGAGAGGUUGAACGGCCACAUUGGGACUGAGACACGGCCCAGACUCCUACGGGAGGCAGCAGUGGGGAAUCUUCCGCAAUGGGCGAAAGCCUGACGGAGCAACGCCGCGUGAGUGAUGACGGUCUUCGGAUUGUAAAGCUCUGUCUUUAGGGACGAUAAUGACGGUACCUAAGGAGGAAGCCACGGCUAACUACGUG
RNAcentral lists this ribosomal RNA (464 nucleotides) under uncultured bacterium. RNAcentral's name for it is "bacterial SSU rRNA". It matches the Rfam family "Bacterial small subunit ribosomal RNA", at positions 28 to 507 of the family's 1533-position model. The record is from RNAcentral.